RNAcentral lists this ribosomal RNA (580 nucleotides) under Agaricus endoxanthus. RNAcentral describes it as "partial large subunit ribosomal RNA". It matches the Rfam family "Eukaryotic large subunit ribosomal RNA", at positions 31 to 611 of the family's 3401-position model. The record is from RNAcentral. Lineage: Eukaryota; Fungi; Basidiomycota; Agaricomycetes; Agaricales; Agaricaceae.
AACUUAAGCAUAUCAAUAAGCGGAGGAAAAGAAACUAACAAGGAUUCCCCUAGUAACUGCGAGUGAAGCGGGAAAAGCUCAAAUUUAAAAUCUGGCGGUCUUUGGCCGUCCGAGUUGUAAUCUAGAGAAGUAAUGCCCGUGCUGGACCGUGUAUAAGUCUCCUGGGAUGGGGCGUCAUAGAGGGUGAGAAUCCCGUCUUUGACACGGACUACCAGUGCAUUGUGGUAUGCUCUCAAAGAGUCCAGUUGUUUGGGAAUGCAGCUCAAAAUGGGUGGUAAAUUCCAUCUAAAGCUAAAUAUUGGCGAGAGACCGAUAGCGAACAAGUACCGUGAGGGAAAGAUGAAAAGAACUUUGGAAAGAAAGUUAAACAGUACGUGAAAUUGCUGAAAGGGAAACGCUUGAAGUCAGUCCCGUUGGCCGGGGAUCAGCCUUGCUUUUGCAUGGUGUACUUUCUGGUUGACGGGUCAGCAUCAAUUUUGACCGCUGGAAAAGGGCCUGGGGAAUGUGGCAGCUUCCGCUGUGUUAUAGCCUCUGGUCACAUACGGCGGUUGGGAUUGAGGAACUCAGCACGCCGCAAGGC